UUUAUGGAGAGUUUGAUCCUGGCUCAGGACGAACGCUGGCGGCGUGCCUAAUACAUGCAAGUCGAGCGGAUCUGAUGGAGUGCUU
RNAcentral lists this ribosomal RNA (85 nucleotides) under Paenibacillus sp. LHD-117. RNAcentral's name for it is "partial 16S ribosomal RNA". It matches the Rfam family "Bacterial small subunit ribosomal RNA", at positions 1 to 85 of the family's 1533-position model. The record is from RNAcentral. Lineage: Bacteria; Bacillati; Bacillota; Bacilli; Caryophanales; Paenibacillaceae.